GAAAUGCGAUAAUUAAUGUGAAUUGCAGAAUUCAGUGAAUCAUCGAGUCUUUGAACGCACAUUGCGCCCCCUGGUAUUCCGGGGGGCAUGCCUGUCCGAGCGUCAUUGCUGCCCUCAAGCACGGCUUGUGUGUUGGGCUUCCGUCCCUGCAACGGGGACGGGCCCAAAAGGCAGUGGCGGCACCAUGUCUGGUCCUCGAGCGUAUGGGGCUUUGUCACCCGCUCCCGUAGGUCCAGCUGGCAGCUAGCCUCGCAACCAAUCUUUUUAACCAGGUUGACCUCGGAUCAGGUAGGGAUACCCGCUGAACUUAAGC
RNAcentral lists this unclassified non-coding RNA (313 nucleotides) under plant metagenome. RNAcentral describes it as "partial contains 5.8S ribosomal RNA, internal transcribed spacer 2, and large subunit ribosomal RNA". The stretch from base 1 to 105 matches the Rfam family "5.8S ribosomal RNA", at positions 50 to 154 of the family's 154-position model. The record is from RNAcentral.